AGUAAGGAGAUGAAAAUAAAGUUUUGAGGAGAGACUGAAAAGACGACACUGUUUAAUCUGUCCUCUGAGGUCCAAAACUGAGGGACAAAUAAAGUAAAGUUACCAGACAAAUCAGCUUCACUCCUUCUAGUGAGGAGGAGUCAAUGCAAAACUCAGAUGUCUUCCACCUCUACUUAUCUGACUGCAGAGAGGAGGACAGAGGACAGUGGACACACAGUUUAACAUGAUGGACUAUAGGACAGGACUGCUGCUUUUAACCAUCUGCUGCUGGACAGGUGUUGAUGGUCAGACUCUGACAGAAUCUGAACCAGUGACUAAAAGACCUGGAGAAUCCCACAGACUGACCUGUACAGCCUCUGGACUUACCAUUUCUGGCUACGGUAUGAGCUGGAUCAGACAGGCUCCUGGAAAAGGACUGGAGUGGAUCGCUUAUGUUUAUAGUACCAACAUCUAUUACUCCCAGUCAGUCCAGGGGAGAUUCACCAUCUCUAGAGAUGACUCCAGCAGUAAAGUCUAUCUACAGAUGGACAGUCUGAAGACCGAGGACACAGCAGUGUAUUACUGUGCCCGAGACACACAGUGCCAGAUCAUGCUGGAAAAUGAAAUCCUCAUCUCCAUAGAGCUUUCCAGCAUGAUCUGGCACCUGCCCACAGUGCCAGAACCACCAGUAACUGGUGUACUGCCCAUGGCAUUACUGUCCUCGAUUGGCCUGCCAAUUCCCCUGACCUGA
Sebastes umbrosus (honeycomb rockfish) is the source of this 730-nucleotide non-coding RNA. NCBI's taxonomy places the organism in Eukaryota, Metazoa, Chordata, Actinopteri, Perciformes, Sebastidae. The record is from the annotation of a RefSeq genome assembly.